CUCUCCUUGGAACCUAAUUUCUCUCCCUGUCUGCGCUGAUCUCCCCCCUGGCCCCGGAACCAACCUUUUUUGGUGAGACUGCAGAUUUUCUUUGGCCGGAGUCAUUUCAAAGUCCAAGCUCCUGAAGGACAUUACUGAUCAGAUCCCAUCCAACUUUAUAGAGAAUUUAAUUCUAUUGUAUUCUACUCCAUUUGGAAGAACUGAAUUGAAAAGGAAAAAAAUGAAGAAAGGAAAGGAGAAAGGAAAUAAGGAAGGAAGGAAGGAAGAAAGGAAGAAAAGAAGGAAGGAAGGAAGGAAGGAAGGAAGGAAAUAAAAUUCAAUUUAUAUGGCACAGAAAAAUCUAACAGCUGUGUAAAACAAGGACAAAAUAGCAUGGUUGUUAAGAAAAGCAAAUAUUACAAUCUCUGUUUUAUAGAUAGGAAAACUAAGAACC
Molecule: long non-coding RNA, 433 nt
Filed under: Sarcophilus harrisii (Tasmanian devil)
Lineage: Eukaryota; Metazoa; Chordata; Mammalia; Dasyuromorphia; Dasyuridae
Description: lncRNA (ENSSHAG00000031336.1)
Source: RNAcentral